CUACGGGCCGCAGCAGUGGGGAAUAUUGGACAAUGGGGGAAACCCUGAUCCAGCAAUGCCGCGUGUGUGAAGAAGGCCUGCGGGUUGUAAAGCACUUUCGGUUGGGAGGACUGCUUCUAGCACUAAUAUUGUUGGAAGUUGACGUUACCUUCAGAAGAAGCACCGGCUAACUCCGUGCCAGGCAGCCGCGGUAAUACGGAGGGUGCAAGCGUUAAUCGGAAUUACUGGGCGUAAAGCGCGCGUAGGCGGCUAGAUCAGUCGGGUGUGAAAGCCCCGGGCUUAACCUGGGAACUGCAUCCGAUACUGUCUAGCUUGAGUACAGGAGAGGGGAGUGGAAUUCCACAUGUAGCGGUGAAAUGCGUAGAUAUGUGGAGGAACACCAAUGGCGAAGGCAGCUCUCUGGCCUGAUACUGACGCUGAGGUGCGAAAGCGUGGGAAGCAAACAGGAUUAGAUACCCCCGUAGUC
This 466-nucleotide ribosomal RNA is filed under the name uncultured bacterium. RNAcentral's name for it is "partial 16S ribosomal RNA". It matches the Rfam family "Bacterial small subunit ribosomal RNA", at positions 339 to 795 of the family's 1533-position model. The record is from RNAcentral.